UUCUUGUUAGAAACGCUCUAAAGCUGGUGAAGCAAAUAGGGGUAUGCUCCCCUACAAUCAUACAAGUGGAUCGCGAUCAUUUCCUAUAGCAAUGUCACUUAUGGCAAAUGAGGAUGGAGAAAUAGAUUUCCCUGAAUUUUAUAAGAAAUCACACAAGUCCAAGAAGACGGGAGACUGGAUUGACCCCAAAUGUGGUGAGCUACAUGAUGAUAUAGUCAAUCUACAAGUCGUAGCCACCGAUGCGGGGUUGCCAUUGACCCACGAAGAA
This is a non-coding RNA of Camellia sinensis, 268 nucleotides long. Lineage: Eukaryota; Viridiplantae; Streptophyta; Magnoliopsida; Ericales; Theaceae. The record is from RefSeq and is a predicted model, not a curated record.